GGGCCUGUAGCUCAGGUGGUUAGAGCAGGCGACUCAUAAUCGCUUGGUCCCUGGUUCAAGUCCAGGCGGGCCCA
This 74-nucleotide transfer RNA is filed under the name Candidatus Omnitrophota bacterium. Its description in RNAcentral is "Candidatus Omnitrophica bacterium tRNA-Met". It matches the Rfam family "tRNA". From Rfam's summary of the family: Transfer RNA (tRNA) molecules are approximately 80 nucleotides in length. Their secondary structure includes four short double-helical elements and three loops (D, anti-codon, and T loops). The record is from RNAcentral. Lineage: Bacteria; Pseudomonadati; Candidatus Omnitrophota.